This 1421-nucleotide long non-coding RNA is filed under the name Numida meleagris (helmeted guineafowl). RNAcentral describes it as "lncRNA (ENSNMEG00000011231.1)". The record is from RNAcentral. Lineage: Eukaryota; Metazoa; Chordata; Aves; Galliformes; Numididae.
GAGAAAGAAUUUUAAUUCUUCAUGUAUUUUACUGGAAAAACUGGCUGUUAUUCACAGUGUACCAUUAUCGUCUGUUCAUGUAUGGUAAAACUUAGCACCCCAAAACAACCAGAGUUUACUACUGCCUGGUAACAUUUCACACCUUGGCAUUUUUUGUCAUUGCAAACUGCUCUUAGAGAGGACAAGUGUUGGAUUUUUUUGCCCUGUAUGUAUGUGCCCAGCUAGCUGCCUAUGGGCUAGCAUAGAGAAGCAGAGGUGUGCUGUUCCUCUCUGGUAUCUGACUGGCUGGUUUGUAUGUAAAGCAGCUCAGUAUGAAAAUUUAUAUUGCUGUAAAUUGAUCUGGGGCAUACCUGUACCACACUACCUGUCAGGCUGGAAGAGUCAGCACAGAUCUGAGAAGAGGCCAGCUUGUCUGUGCUGAUGGAGAAAGGUAGCUGAAAAAUGUGGUAGAAAACUUUGGAAAAUGCACUUGUAGCUGAAGACUGAGCAUUAAAACACUUAAAGUAGAGAAAAAGGUAUGGUGUUUUAGGGUGGGCUUUUUGCCCCAUAGUAUAUUAAAACUUUCUUGUUUAUUGAAGUAUGGGAAGAAGUGCAAGGCAGAACUUGGGUGUCAGGCUCAGCAGUGAUUCUCAUAACUUCCUUUCAUGUUUCUCUCCAUGCUUCUGUAUAACUUCAGCAUUUGGGGACGUGAUUUGUGUGCUUGAUAUGCAUCUUAAUUUCUUCAGUAAAUAACCAUGAGCAACAAAAAUCUUUUUUUUUUCUCCCGUUUAUUAGAGAAAGCUAAAUAACUUUGUAGUCAUCCGCCUAUAAUACUGUUGUCAUUGUCUUUGACUGAAUUCUGAGGCAUAAUAUUGUUAUUGUUUCAUUUUUUUUUUCAGUGCAAAGCAGGCAAAUGUGUGUAUCUGAACUACCUUUGUUAAAGUAAUCAAUGAAGUUCAAGAUGAUUUAUGGAAAGCAGUGGGUGACCUCUAUUUGUUGGAAUGUCCUUUGUCAUCCUGAGGCUUGCCAGGCAGUGCUGCUUUACAGCAGUGGGCUGUGAAGAGCAAGGGUGCAUAUAGGGCGGUUCAUGUAGUGCUGAAAUUGAAUGAUGGCAUGAGAAGCUUUUCUAAGUCUAAUACCAGGAUGUAGAGAUUUUUCCCCCUGCAGAUACAAACACUGUUGUCAGAAUACAUCAAGUCUUUGUUACUAUAGAUUUCAGAUGAGUGUUAUAUCAGCUUGAGAAAGUUCUUGAGACUCUCUGCCACUUUCCCUUCUUAUGGUAAAUACAUUACUUCCUUUAAGUUUCUUCAGGAAAGACCUUGUAAGGACUUUUGUGUAUCGGAAGACAGAUGAUUCAUGUCAUAGAUACAGAUUUUGGAACACCUUUAGCAUCUUUUUAGUGACACCUGAGCACAAAGGUUGAUGUUUUUAAGUGGCAGGAU